GGCAUCGUGGCCGAGUGGUCUAAGGCGGGGGACUCAAGCUUUCACUUCCACAUUUUCAUGUGGCUUCCCCUCCUCUCUGAGGGCGCAGGUUCGAACCCUGUCGAUGCUA
RNAcentral lists this transfer RNA (109 nucleotides) under Chlorella variabilis. It matches the Rfam family "tRNA". From Rfam's summary of the family: Transfer RNA (tRNA) molecules are approximately 80 nucleotides in length. Their secondary structure includes four short double-helical elements and three loops (D, anti-codon, and T loops). Further hydrogen bonds mediate the characteristic L-shaped molecular structure. tRNAs have two regions of fundamental functional importance: the anti-codon, which is responsible for specific mRNA codon recognition, and the 3' end, to which the tRNAs corresponding amino acid is attached (by aminoacyl-tRNA synthetases). tRNAs cope with the degeneracy of the genetic code in two manners: having more than one tRNA (with a specific anti-codon) for a particular amino acid; and 'wobble' base-pairing, i.e. permitting non-standard base-pairing at the 3rd anti-codon position. The record is from Rfam by way of RNAcentral. Lineage: Eukaryota; Viridiplantae; Chlorophyta; Trebouxiophyceae; Chlorellales; Chlorellaceae.